Molecule: ribosomal RNA, 299 nt
Filed under: Clostridioides difficile
Lineage: Bacteria; Bacillati; Bacillota; Clostridia; Peptostreptococcales; Peptostreptococcaceae
Description: partial 23S ribosomal RNA
Rfam family: Bacterial large subunit ribosomal RNA
Source: RNAcentral
AGACAGUUCGGUCCCUAUCCGUCGCAGGCGUAGGAAAUUUGAGAAGACCUGUCCUUAGUACGAGAGGACCGGGAUGGACGUACCUCUGGUGUACCAGUUGUCCUGCCAAGGGCAUGGCUGGGUAGCUAUGUACGGAAUGGAUAAGCGCUGAAAGCAUCUAAGCGCGAAGCCAACUUCAAGAUAAGAUUUCCCACCGCAAGGGUAAGACCCCAGAAAGACUAUCUGGUUGAUAGGUCGAAGGUGUAAGUGUAGCAAUGUAUUUAGCUUAUCGAUACUAAUAGGUCGAGGACUUGACCAAU